Molecule: ribosomal RNA, 253 nt
Filed under: uncultured bacterium
Lineage: Bacteria
Description: partial 16S ribosomal RNA
Rfam family: Bacterial small subunit ribosomal RNA
Source: RNAcentral
UACGGGGGGGGCAAGCGUUGUUCGGAAUUACUGGGCGUAAAGGGCCAGUAGGCGGCCAACUAAGUCGGAUGUGAAAUCCCCAGGCUUAACCUGGGAACUGCAUCCGAUACUGGAUGGCUUGAAUUCGGGAGAGGGAUGCAGAAUUCCAGGUGUAGCGGUGAAAUGCGUAGAUAUCUGGAGGAAUACCGGUGGCGAAGGCGGCAUCCUGGACCGACAUUGACGCUGAACGGCGAGAGCUAGGGGAGCAAACGGG